GCGGGCGGCGCUAGGGCGCAUGUGCGAGCCGUCCGGCCACUCCCACCCCGCCCCCGCCGGGAGGGUGCGAGCCCGUCUAGAGUGGUGGGGGACUGAGAUGGGAUGCCACAGUCUGCCUGCUCUGUAGCCUGGGCUGCUGUCAAUCUUGAGAUCUUCCAGCCACAGCCUCAAGUGCUGAGAAACCGGGUAGGGCUGUAAGCAUCUAAAACAAGGUAGCUCUGACUGGCCUGGAACUCGCCGAGGCUGGGCUGGAACUCACAGCGACCCUCUGCUUCUGCCUCCCACGCUGUUGUUAACUAACGGGCCCUCCGUUAGCUCAUCCCAGGAAAU
RNAcentral lists this long non-coding RNA (330 nucleotides) under Mus pahari (shrew mouse). RNAcentral's name for it is "lncRNA (MGP_PahariEiJ_G0003089.1)". Lineage: Eukaryota; Metazoa; Chordata; Mammalia; Rodentia; Muridae. The record is from RNAcentral.